Molecule: ribosomal RNA, 462 nt
Filed under: uncultured bacterium
Lineage: Bacteria
Description: partial 16S ribosomal RNA
Rfam family: Bacterial small subunit ribosomal RNA
Source: RNAcentral
GAUCAACGCUGGCGGCGUGCUUAACACAUGCAAGUCGAACGAAGUUUUUCCUUCGGGAGAAACUUAGUGGCGGACGGGUGAGUAACGCGUGGGCAACCUGCCCUGUACAGGGGGACAACAGCUGUAAACGGCUGCUAAUACCGCAUAAGCCCUUAGCACUGCAUGGUGCAUAGGGAAAAGGAGCAAUCCGGUACAGGAUGGACCCGCGUCUGAUUAGCCAGUUGGCAGGGUAACGGCCUACCAAAGCGACGAUCAGUAGCCGAUCUGAGAGGAUGUACGGCCACAUUGGGACUGAGACACGGCCCAGACUCCUACGGGAGGCAGCAGUGGGGAAUAUUGCACAAUGGAGGAAACUCUGAUGCAGCGACGCCGCGUGAGUGAAGAAGUAUUUCGGUAUGUAAAGCUCUAUCAGCAGGGAAGAAAAUGACGGUACCUGACGAAGAAGCACCGGCUAAAUACGUG